Vicugna pacos (alpaca) is the source of this 1469-nucleotide non-coding RNA. NCBI's taxonomy places the organism in Eukaryota, Metazoa, Chordata, Mammalia, Artiodactyla, Camelidae. The record is from RefSeq and is a predicted model, not a curated record.
GUCGGGGUGAAGGCUGCUGACGUUUCCAGGCUGCCCCGGGCUCCAUUUUCAGCCGCCGAGCGGGGCGGGCCGGUUCCUCACGGGCGGCGGCGUCGGUUGGGUGGAGAAGGGCGGUUGGCCGGGCGGCUCCAGGCAGGGCCUGUGGGCACGCGGGGAGCGUUUCGUGUUGUCCUGAUGCGGUUUGGGAGCAUGAGGACUGUAGACAUUUCGAUGCUGCCUUCAGCUCCAUCUUCAGGCCUGCGGUUGGGUGGGCCCCCGCACCCCGCGGGCCCCAAGACUGGGGCUCCUCACUGGUGUCAGUUGGGCCGAGAAGAGGGGGUUGGCCUUUAGAAGGAAAGCUUGGGAGGUUAAAUAAGCUCUCCUCACGGGGAGCGGCUGGCCGCCAGGCCUCCUGCUCUGGGUUAGCGCCCUGGUUGCAUUGGUCCCUUCACGCUGUGGUAUCCUGGCCCGCCGACCCCGCUGUUCCCUUGCCCCCGAGCCCGGCCUCCGGCUCCCGCGUCCUGCGGAAGCGCUGUUUGACCGGCGUUCCCGUUCUCUUAGGGGUGCCCCAUGAGCUCCCUGGGGAAGGCUUGCCCAGCUCUGGCCGCGCUCUGGCCCUGUGGGGUCCGGCUGCCACUUUGACCUCUGCCCUCACCUACCUAGGGCCACUUGGGGGCCCUGGGUAACCCCUCAAGAGUGGGGAGGGUCAUUUCUCCAUCCAUUCAGUUGCUACUUUCCUCUUGGUUUUUAAUUUAAUUUUUAAAUUCAUUUCUUAUUUUUAAAGGUUUUUUUAAUUGCACCAUCCCCACCCCACCUCCUUUAUUUUUUAUCAUCUUUCUCUCCCCUCAAACCUGGAUCUUUUGCUUUGCCAUACCCAGUGGCUCUGAAGCGAGUGAAAUAGGAUACAUUUCUCCGACUCAGGGAGAGGCAGAGGCAAGGAAUUGAUUUCAAGAUGUAUAAUAAUAAUAAUACUGAACAUAAGCUAAAUGUGGAAGCCAUGAUUAAAAACAUUAACACAAUUUCUUUGGAGUUAAAGAAAAUGAAAGAGUUCCACCACAUGCAGAUGUCUGCAGCAGCCACCACCAAGGGGAAUGGGACUGCCAAGACCAGUCUGGACCAGUCAGCACUUACUCCUGGAGCUGGGGAGAAGACCACUUCAGACGCAAUCAAGUUGUGCCCCAAGGAAGAAGGGAGUGACUGUUAGGCACUAAAUAAGCUCUCCCAGUUACGGCUUUGUGACCUUACCCUACAUUUCAGUCGUCCUAUGAAGACAGAUGACUUAAAGGACGCAGAAAGAGACAGCCCCCUCUCUGAAGAGUCUAAGACGUCAGAUGUAUCCCUUGCUUCUAACAGUUUUUAAAUCUGACUUUUAUUUGUUGUGGAUUUGUAACUUUUAUUUUUGAAUUAACUCCUAUCUAGGAGAAUUGAGUUUACUCAUAUAUUUAAUAUAAUAAAAAAAUAAAAAUAUGUUGAGUUAUAAAUAAUCAUUU